UGGCACGACUCUUUUCAAAUUGAACCCA
Molecule: non-coding RNA, 28 nt
Filed under: Mus musculus (house mouse)
Lineage: Eukaryota; Metazoa; Chordata; Mammalia; Rodentia; Muridae
Source: RNAcentral